ACCGAGCUGUUUCCUCCUAAACUAGACGCUUGUAAUAUGGCUUGGCUUGUGUUGGACGUCCAGUAGAUUGCUUCUGCUUCCGAGUUGUAGUCUAUAGCUGCUGGAGGGAGAAACUGCUUGAAUGGAGUGGGCUUCAGUAAAUAGAAAAAAUGUGGAAAGAACUAAAGACAUCACAGCACAGAGUCAACUGCAGUUGUCGGAGGGAUUUUCGGGAUUGUGCGGGCACACGCAUCGGACGCUAUUCGAUGGUGAGGGAAGACAGAUAUGGCUGCGAGGACAACCUCCGUUGUUCACCGAACACGCAGUACUAACUGUAACACAUGCAGACAGUCACAAUAGACAUGCAGCAUUGGUCAUUUAAAAAUUUACCGCUGU
Molecule: long non-coding RNA, 375 nt
Organism: Corticium candelabrum
Lineage: Eukaryota; Metazoa; Porifera; Homoscleromorpha; Homosclerophorida; Plakinidae
Exons: 3
Source: RefSeq, a predicted model, not a curated record